This 27747-nucleotide long non-coding RNA is filed under the name Vitis vinifera (wine grape). RNAcentral describes it as "long non-coding RNA (VVIN_LNC005539)". Lineage: Eukaryota; Viridiplantae; Streptophyta; Magnoliopsida; Vitales; Vitaceae. The record is from RNAcentral.
CAACAGGAUCUGGGGAUUCAUCUGAUGGCCUCCGGGACAAGGUCUUGGUUCUUCCAAUUGUUCUCAGCAUGACUGUCCUUGUAGCACUCCUCUGCCUGUUGUUAUAUCACACUCUGUACAGAAGGAGGGCCUUGAAGAGAUCCCUGGAAAGCUCCUUGAGUGUGUCCGGUGCGCCAAUGAAUUUCAGUUACCGCAAUUUGCAGUCCAGAACCGGCAAUUUUUCGCAGUUGCUCGGCACAGGUCAGCAUGUACAUAUACAUAUACUUUGAAAGGGAUGAAAUUGUUUGAACAAAGCCAGUUGGACUUGAUCAAUUUGGAUUAAUGUUGUCUUCUCUUUUUUUCAGGAGGGUUUGGGAGUGUAUACAAGGGAAGCCUUUCAGAUGAGGCAUUGGUUGCAGUGAAGAAGCUUGACAAGGUUUUGUCUCAUGGGGAGAAGGAAUUCAUAACUGAAGUGAACACCAUUGGCUCUAUGCAUCACAUGAACCUGGUUCGCCUAUGUGGCUACUGCUCGGAAGGCUCUCACCGGUAUGCAUUUCAUUUCAUCGCCUAAAACCAAUUACCACUAACCAUAAUUAAAUUCUUGUCAUCCUCUUUUGUGGUCAAGCAUACUAUAUUUUCGAGCUUAUAAUGGGGUUGGAAUUUGAUGAUUCUUCACAGGCUUCUGGUUUAUGAGUUCAUGAAAAAUGGUUCCUUGGACAAGUGGAUAUUCCCCUCAAAGCAUUGCCGGGACAGACUGCUAGAUUGGGGAACUCGUUUCCAUAUAGCCAUUGCUACUGCACAAGGGAUUGCUUAUUUUCAUGAGCAGUGCAGGAAUCGGAUAAUCCACUGCGAUAUCAAGCCUGAAAACAUACUUCUAGAUGAGAAUUUCUGUCCAAAAGUUUCAGACUUUGGACUAGCAAAGCUGAUGGGCAGAGAGCAUUCACAUGUUGUCACUAUGGUGAGAGGAACUAGGGGCUAUCUGGCUCCAGAAUGGGUUAGCAACCGGCCUAUUACUGUAAAAGCCGAUGUCUACAGUUACGGAAUGCUUCUCCUGGAGAUUGUUGGUGGCCGGAGAAACCUUGACAUGACCUUUGAUGCAGAAGACUUCUUCUAUCCUGGGUGGGCUUUUAAGGUAUAGAUCAAUCAAGUUCUUGCUUCUGUAAAUCACAAAUUGUUAAGUGUUUGAUAUUUUAUUAACGAAAAUGCCAAUUCCUCUAGGAAAUGAGUAAUGGGACGACAAGAAAAGUUGCAGACAGGCGACUGGAAGGGGCAGUGGAGGAAGAGGAGCUAGAAAGAGCAUUGAAAACUGGCUUUUGGUGCAUUCAAGAUGAGGUUUUCAUGAGGCCUUCAAUGGGGGAAGUGGUGAAGAUGUUGGAAGGAUCACUUGAAAUCAACACACCGCCAAUGCCACAGACAGUUCUGGAGCUCAUGGAGGAGGGCUUAGACAAUGUAUACAGAGCCAUGAAGAGAGAGUUCAACCAGUCCAGCUUCUUCACCAUCAAUAAUAGUACCCAUCCUUCAUCAAGGGCUACAUGUAGUUAUUCCACAAUGUCACCUAGAUAGCAAAGGAGAAAUGGAACAAAUUUUGUUGUUGUCCCGGAAUUUUAUCACCUUGAUAGAUACUGUCCAGAAACAUAAUUCUUAUUGAUCAAUUGUUACCAUACAUACUAAUGGGCAAUGAAAUUAGUAGAGAACUUUGCAUAGGUUGAGGUACGAAAAUCUCGGUCUUUUAAAGGAGAUUUAAGCCAUUUCUGGUUUGACAAUUUGAGAAAUUGGUGUAUUUGACUUCUCUUUGAUUUGUCCCCACAAGGAUACGAUAGUCGGCCAAGUGAUUUGUUGCAUAGCUCACAUCAAUAUGCAUAAAGCAUAGAACUUAAGGCUUCACAAAGAAAAAAAAAAAAAAGAAGAAGAAAGGAAGAAGAUAACUAAAAAAAGUCUAAAAAACAUGACAUUAGGAGGAUGAGUCAAAAGACUCAUCAUAAAGUUUAAAAUCUUCAACAAUUUUGAAAGAAUUCAAUCUAGCUCUUUAAUUUUUAUAAGCUAAAUCCCAUUGACAUAAAUGAUAUUUAAUACUUCUCAAUUCCCAUAAUUGUAACUACAAAUUCAAUAAUCCAUUAUGCCAACUUUAAUCCCCUUAACUUUCAUAUAUAACCAUAAUGUUGGUAGCUAGUUUACAUUGAUAACUUUGUUCCAAACUUGUUGGAUCUAACUCUAAUAUUUAAUUACUUCAUGUGACUUACAUUGGACUUGAAAACUUGAAAUUUUUAUCAAUUCCUCCUUAAGGUCAUUCUGGUAACUAUGAUUAAGUUUGUUCGGGUGAAUAAUGACAUCAAAAGGUAUAUGCUGGUUUUUAUUAGAUGAUGUGAAAAUAAUAGGGAAAAAAAGAAAAAAAGAAUCGGAUUUUGAUGAGCAAUCAAGUGAUCCUUAUGAGUGCUUAAGUGCCCAUAACGACUUUACAUAAUUUUUUACUAAUUUUCUUAUUCCAUUUUUUCAUGAUAUUUUUCCGCUACGAUUUUUAAGAUUAUGAUUACACCUUAUGUUAUUGAUUUGAUAUAUGUUUUUUAGAGCUAUAUGCUAUUAUUCUCUAAGAGCCCCAUCGUGGAUUAAGUUUAGUUUGUGGUGAUUUCUUUCAUUAAGGAAUACUCUCUCUCUCUCUCUAAUUGGGAAAUAUCAUCGAUAUGUUGGUGGACAUUGAAGUGAAAUAUAGGAUAGUUUGUGGUGAUUUCUUUCAUUAAGGAAUACUCUCUCUCUCUCUAAUUGGGAAACAUCAUUGAUAUGUUGGUGGACAUUGAAGUGACAUAAGGGGAGAUGGAUAGAUAUUGAAGUGACAUAUAGGGGAGAUAUAUCCAUCUACUGAAGUUUCGGUUAUUUUUUAAAAAUUUGAUAUUUUUGCCAUUCACAUAUUUAAGAGAAUAAAAUAUAAAAGAGUUAAAUAUCUUAUUCCUCGUAAAAUUGAAAUUUCAACUUUUGAAAUGUCAAAUUACAAAAUUAUAAAACACAUUAAAUUUUGAUAUGCCUUAGAAAAAAAACAUAUUUAAUUCAUUUUUUUUUAAUUUUCUUUGUUAUCUUAUUAAUUAAGUUAGCAAAUUACAUUAAAAAUCAAAUAACAAUGGAUCAAUUAAAAGAUAUAACACUAUGUUCGGUUGUCUAAGAUUUGAAAGUAAUGACAACAAAAAGAAAACAAAGAAAAAAAUAAAAAUAAAAAUAAAAAAAAUAAAAAAAUAUUUAAAAUUAAUAAAUUAUUUUUACAUCUUAAUAAAUUAUUUUUACAUAAUUCUUUAUUCAUUCCACUUAUUUAUACUCUUUUAUAUAAAAAUUAAAUAAUUUUAAAAAUAUAUAAAAUUUUAAUUAAUUUUAAUUAUAUUUGAUUUUUCUUUACACUUUUUUAGAGUUAAUUUUGUUCACCUUCUAGAGCUUUGGGUUAAAUAUAUUUAGUCACCUUGAGUUUAAAAUUUUAUCAAAUAUCUUUCUUCCUUUUUUUUUGAGUUAGAGGUAGGGGCAUAACUUGAGCGGAUAGGCCCUACUCAACCUGAUGUUUGAAUAGCUUGAACAAUUAUUUUCAAUACUUGAGUUGUGAUAGAUUAAAUAUUUUCAAUUCGAGCUCAAUUUGGACGACUAAAGAUUCAAACAACUCAAACCUAAUCCAAAUUGGAUUUAAUAUUUUUAUAAUAUUUAUAAUAUAAAAUAUCAAAUAUUAUUAUUACAUAUCAUAUCUUGAAAUUUUGUUCUAUUAAUUAUUUAAAUUUUGACAUAAAUAUAUGAGUUUAUUAUACUUUACCCCUAUAACCUAUAACUUGUUUUACACAUUGUUCCAUCAAGUUCAAAAUUGAGUAAUGUACCUUCCAUAUUUAAUAACUGUACGUAAUGUGCAUUUUUUUUAAAGACAACUUUAUUUUUUGGACGGAAAGGUACGUGCUCUCCGCGUGAUUGAGGGUAAAAGUGUCUUUUUUCCUUUGCAACUCCCUCUCUCGAUCAUUACUCCCCUUUGGAACCCCAAAUUGUAGCCCGCUUCUUCCUGACCCGUUCUUCUUUCCUUCCUUCAAAGCCUUAGAAUGUGAAUCCCAAAAAGUUGCUACUGAAGCCCUAGAAAAUUUCUCAUGUUUGUAGGGUGGAAAUGUUUCUCCAAAUUUCCCUAAAAAAUUGCCCAAAAAUUUCCCCAGUUUUUUGAAACACAAAAACAAAACCCCAACCCUAAACUAGAAGCAUAACAAAAAAAAUUUAAACCCUAACAUAAAAACCCUAGCCCUCAAUUGGCCCUAGUUUUAUUCAACCAUAAAUCCCCCAAAUUUCCCCUGAAAAUUGCCUUUAAAUUUCUACAAAAUUUCCCCCAAAAUUCUCCUAGUUUUCUUAAACAUGAAAAUGAAACCCUAACCUUGAACUAAAAUCAUAACAUAAAAAUUUAAACCCUAACAUGAAAACCCUAACCCUCAAUUUGCCUGAGUUUUAUUCUUCCAUAAUUUCCACAAAAUUUCCCCAAAUUUUCUGAAAGAUCCAAACGAAACCCUAACCCUAAAGAAAUUGGAAGACAAAAAAUACCUUUGAACUUUCAUGUCUCUCUUCAAUGUCAGCCCUGCAUUAGCUUCUUUGGGAUUCUAGGGCUUCAGCUUUGAGUUUCACUAAUAGCUACAGAGGAGGAACAGUACAUGCUGGAGAAGAUGAGGGUUUUAAAAUAACAAUGACCCUUUUGCCCUUGCUUUAUGGGAACGAAGACAAUUUUGCCCUCAGUCACGUGGAGAGUACAUGUCUUUCUGUCCAAAAAAAAUAAUGUCGUAUUUAAAAAAAUACACAUUUUAUGCAAUUAUAAAGAAUUAAGGGUACAUUAUUCGAUUUUGUACUUAAGGGGGCAAUGUGUAAAAUAUGCUUUAAAUUGAGGGGUAAAGUGUAAUUAACUUUAAAUAUAUAGAAAAAAUAUUUUUUUGAAAAACAUUAUUUGGGUAAAUUUUGAAUUAUGCAAUCGAUUAUUUUCUCUUGAAUAACCUCAUGAAUCCGAACUCAAUCUAAUUUUUUUUUAUCCUACUUUAGAUAUAUAUAACUCAUUUGUCUUGUCUCGGUCACUUCGUCCCAAUCACAUUCAUAAAUUUUCUCGGGAAACUUGUGUUUGAGGCUGGUAAUAUUAAAAUAGUAUGAGAUUGGAAACCCAACUUUUGAUUUUUUAAUAUAAUUAUUCUAAUCCUAAAAAUAAUAUAGGGUUCAUGCACUUUUAGCUGAACUAUUUUUUAAUAUCCAAUAUGCCCUCUUCUUUCUGCCAGGUCAACCUCCACAUGUGAAAAAAAAAAGAGGUCUUCUUCCAUCUCCAGCAUCACCUGUGAAAAAAAAAGGGUCUUAUUCCAUCUCCAGUAUCACCUCCACUAGAUGACCAUAACUCCUCCCAAACUUCUUCACCUCCAUUUGCAGACUGUCCACUAUCGGGUCAACUUGUUUCAUCUCAAUCAUCGCCGCGGCUCAUCACCAGCGACGACCGAGGGAACCUCGACUCUAUGUACCGCAUCAACAUCUCCCCCGAUCCCGAAACUGUGUCAGAGCCACACUGCAGAACCAACAUAUCGGGUUUGAGAAUCGGCGUCUCGGCCGACACCAUACAGAUGGAUACGCAUUUGUGGUGUAGGGCGAACCGGAUGUAGGAGGUGAGAGGAACCGCUGGAGAUAAACGACACCAAAAUUCCUUUCCCAUCUUCCACUCCCUGGUUGUAGGUCUCAUCAUAGGAAACAAACGGCUGAGACUUAGUAAAUUGGGAGAGGAAGCAUGCUAGUUGUAGGUGUGAGAAGUUGCGGGAGAGUCAUGGACGAAGGUGGGGGGAGAGAGAGAGAGAGAGACUUGAAGAGGUUAGGUUUUCUUUUUGGGAUUUGGGUUUCAAAAGGGAGCAGAGCAGAUGGAAAAUUUUAGGCAAAACGUUUUAUGUUUUCUCGGUUUUUUGAUUUUUUGGUUUUUUUUUUAAAAAAAAAAUAAGUGGAGGUUGACGUGGUAGAGAAGAGAGGCAUAUUAGGUAUUAAAAAUCAGCUCAGCCCAAAGGGCAUGGAACCCAAAAUAUUUUGGGUUCAAUAUUGAAAAAUUAAAAAUGGUAAAAAUGAGUUUUGGUUUUCAUAAUAUUUAGAUAUCACCAUCCCAAAACCUAACUUUUCCAAUUUUCUCUUUCGUGCUUGCCGUGAAAGUCACUUGCUCCGCAAUUUACGCAAAGACUCUAUUACCAUUGACUUUAUUACAAUUUCUACAAGAAAAAUCGAACUUCAAGACUAAGCAAAUAUCCUAGGAAUCAAGCUGGAAGCUACAAUGCUGUUUCAGGGAAGCAUAUGAUAUACAAAUACAACCCUUAUAUGUUACAGCUUCGGUACUGACCAGGAGACUGUAAGUACUGGCCAUGGAUGCAGAAGAAGAAAGGCUAAGUAAAACCCAUAUCCAUGGCCAAUUGGUAGAGAUAAACCACAAUCAGGAGAAACGAAUACGCCACGAAGAAACAAAGGCGCAGAAUCUGACAACUGGGUUUGCGGUCGUCCAAGCUUUAAUUCUCAACACAGGGGUGAUCAAUAAGCCAUCUAACAGAUGCGAACACUGGUGGGUGCCAUUCUCUCUCUCCUUAUCAGUCGGUGUGAUUUAUUUCAUCACCAUUUUUGAGGUGUUGAGGAAAUGGUACCUUCUGCUCUACCAUUUGGACGUCAACUACCUGGAGCAAGAACUUAUUCUACUGGAAAUGCAUGGGGGUGCUCCGUCCUGGCGAAAUGAUCAGCCAUUGAAGCCAGAUGUGGUGAAGCUCCUGAGGCGUAAAGCUUAUAUCACGAUACUGAUUUCUGCUAUGCUCGCCUUUCAAGCUCUGAUGCUCCACGCCUGCAGAUCCUUUCUUUGCAGCUGAAAGUAACCAUCUUCCCCUUUAAAUAAAUACUAGAAUAAAAAAAAAUUGUUGUUUAUUAUGCCAAAUUUCUCGAUGCCUUUGAAGAGUGUCAUGGGAAAUGCUAUUAAGAUGCAAACUACAUAAUUCAAAAUGCAUUAUAUGGAACGAAAUUAUUUACCAUGAAAUUUAUUUAUAUUGUUUUUCUUUCUAAAGUAUUCAAAAUGCAUGAUAUGCAAUAGAAAAUUUUGAGGGAAAAUAUCACAGAAAGAAAAUAGAGAGAAAAAAUAGAAUAAAAAAAUAUGAAAAAAAAAUAAAAAAAUAUAUUUAAAGUCAAUAAAUUAUUUUUAUAUCUUAUUUUAAACUUAUUUUACUUAUUUUAACUCAUCAAUAUAAAGGUUAAAUAAUUUUAAAAUAUAUAAAAUUUUAAUUAAUUUAAAUUAUAUUUGAUUUUAUUUGACAUUUUUCAUGAUACAAUCAUGAGAAACUCGUUUUCUUAAACAUUUUUCUUUUCUUUUUUCAGUAGUUUUUGGCAACCAAACAUUACCUAAAAUUUUGUUAGUGCAUCUCCUUAGGUGUUUGUGCUCACAUAUUGGGCCCAAGAAUGGGUUCCUGCAACUACCAUCAAUGGGCCGGGCUGCCCAAUCAAUAACAAAAGGGCACUCACCUGGGUCUCAUGGGCCGAGAAAAAUGGAGCCCAUACACAACAGUUUUGAACCCAAACAUAAAUUUCAAGUUCAUAUAUACUUUUAAUCUCGUUUAUUCAUUCAUAUUAGAAAUCUAGAUUUAUAUUAAUUCAUUCAUGUAGAUCUAUAUAUUAGGAAUCAAAUUAGAGUGCAUAGAAACCAAAAUUAAGAGAGAGGAUUAUACCCAGGGAAGUUUUGUGUGAUACGUUGAACUGAAAGUGAUAAAAACUAAGACUAUGUUUAAUUCCCAAAAAGCAAUAAGGAAAGAAAAAAAAAUAUGAAGGAAAAUUAUUUUCUUGUAUUUUAUUUUUUUAUGAAAAACUUGAAAGGAAAUAAAAUAUAAUUAAAAAUUUAUUAUAUAUUUUUAAAUUAUUAAUUUCCAUAUAAAAGGGGAACAAAAUGUCAAUGAAUUUGAAAUAACAAAUAAAAAUGAUUUAUAAGUUUUAAAUCCAUUUUUUUUAUUUUCCUUAAUAUUUUCCUUCUUCUACUUUUUCUUUCUAUUUUCUUUUUCUCACAUUUUCUCUUAGAUUUUCUAAGAACCAAACAUAAUAUAAAAAAACAAAUAAUAUAUAAAAAAACCCAAAUAAUUUGACAUGUGGUAUAUUGUUGCUAGUCAAAGUAAUGGUUGUGGGUGACUUUUAGAAGCCUCCAAUAAGAAAUGGCCAAAAAACCUAUGAGCUUGGCAUUUAUUUGAGUAUCUCGGGGACAAUAUUUUAUUUUUAAUUAUGUGUUUUAAUUCAUUGUUUUUUUUUCUUUAAUAUUAUUUUAGAAAUAUGUUUAGAGAUAUGUUAAUUUUAGUGCUUAUAGUAAUAUAAAGAUUUUGAUAAUUAAAAAUUUGUUUAAAAAUGAUUUUAGGAAGCAUUUAACCUAUUUAAUCUUUAAAUUUUUUAUAAAAGAAUUGUUUUCAAGUGCUAAAAAGAUUAGAGACAUUUUAUAAAAUUACUAUUAAAUAAAUUCUAAAUAUAAUCGAGUCGUGUGACUAUAAAUUGCUAGACUUUUCCAUGUGAUUAAUCCUUGGAUACUUGGAAUUUGUUUAUGUGGGGUAGAGCUUUUGUGAGUUUGUUUGCAAUUUUCUCAUACUAGAAACAAAUGAAUGGUCAGAGAAAGGAACAUAGAAAAGAGAAGAUUGAAACACCUUCACCUGCUCCGAAGGUUCGUAUGAUCUUCAUGCCAGCCUCCAUGCCUCAUUUUCCCGCUUAUAAAAAAAAGGCCACAAAAGACUAGACUGAUCUGAUAAAGCAGGGCCGGAAAAGCGAGCUCGACACGAAGAAACGAAAGCCGGCCAAUGCAGUCCGAGAGAUCACACAGCGAACUGUUCGAGUCUGGGCUUUUGUUUCUUCGUGUCGGUCUUGCUUCUGUCUCCGGCCGGAGGAACAAAAUUGUACAGACAUGGAUGGGAAGAACUCCUGUAAUAUCAAGAGUCCUUCUAUCUUUGGAUUGUUAUAAUAAUAUUAUCUUCAAAACAAAAUUUAUGCAAGUGGGGGUAUAUUUUUUAUUUUUUGUUUUUGAAAAUAGGAAGUUUUAUACAAAAUAUAAAAAAAUCUUAUAUGAAAGAUAGGUAUAAUCUUGUUAUGUUAUUUGAAAACAUUUUUUAAAAUUGACAGAAGUAAAAAAAUUUCAAUUCCAUAAAUUUUUAAAUUUUGAAAAAGUCUUUAAGAAGGGUAGGUAAGAGGAUGCUUGUUAAUGGUUAGAAAAUAGUUUUAUAUGUUUUAGAACAAAAGAAUAAUAAAAAAAAACAUGCUUAGUGAUUAGAAAACAGUUUAUACUCUUAAAAAACAAAAAAUCGGAGUGUUUUUAGAUAAUAUCUUUUAAUUUUUAAAAUUAUUUUUAUUUAUUGAAAAAUAAUCAUACAAAAUGCAGAAUGAUUAUGAGUAAAGUAUUACAUGUGAAACUUAUUUUUAAAAAAUAUUUAAAAACAUAAAAAAAAAAGUUAAUAACAGUUCAAGUUUCCAAACAAACUAUUAUUUUACAAAAUAUUAAAUAACAAUUUUAAAAAAUAGUUUUAAAAAAUACUUUUCGAACACAAUUUAAAUUUUUUUCUUUUUGCAUAAAAAUUCUUAUAUUUUGUAUAAGAGUUUUUAUUUUUAAAAAUAAAAAAAUAAGAAAUAUAUUCAAAGAUAUUUAAUAAACAAUAAAAUUCAAAAGAGAAAGCCUUAAAUUUUAUGUUAUUAUUGUAAAAUGAGAAUAAAUGUGACUCAAAUAAUAGUAGGGAUGACUAUGUAUUAUUUUAAUAAUAUAUAUAUAGAGGGGCGGGGGGAAGAAAUCAAAGAAAAGUGUUGAGAGAAUGAAAGAAAGAGAGAGAGAAUGAGAGGAAGAAAAUUUCUUCUUUUUCUCGGAAUGCUCUUACAUGGGGUGUAAGAACCCUUUUAUAGGAUUCAUAAGAUGAACUCCCAUUACUCAUCUUAAAGAUGAGUAAAUGGAGUUCAUAAAUGACCAUCAAUGUGGUCAUUCAUCACUUCAUUUACAACAUUUCCCCUUGGAUGACCACCAUAUUAAAAGAAUAUGUUUCAUUAAAACCUUGUUAGUAAAAAUUUUUAUAGGAAAAACCUAGUGAAGGAAAAAGAGUACAAUAUUCUUUUCUUGGUAUAUUAGGACUACCUCGUUAAAAACCUUGCCAGUAAAACCCAGUAGGACAAAACCUGGACGAAGGAAAAAAGAGUACAGUACACUAACACCCUUUUACAAGCAUACUCCCCCUCAUGUCAAUAUCCUUGAGUUGACGCAUUCCAAUCAUGUAUAUUAAUUUCUUGAAUGUUGAGGUUGACAAUGAUUUUGUGAAUAAAUCUGUUAGAUUAUCACUUGAGCGUAUUUGUUGCACAUCAUUUUCACCACUCUUCUAGAGUUCAUGUGUAUAAAAGAAUUUUGGUGAAAUGUGUUUAGUUCUAUCUCUUUUAAUAUAACCCCCUGUUAUUUGUGUAAUGCAUGUAGCAUUAUCUUCAAAUAAUAUUGUCGGGUCACCUUUGAUAGAGGAGAGUCCACAUGAUUCCCGAAUAUGUUGGAUCAUAGAUCUUAGCCUUAUACAUUCAUGACUUGCUUCAUGAAUUGCUAGUAUUUCUGAAUGAUUUGAUGAUGUGGCCACCAUUGUUUGUUUGACAUAUCUCCAUGAAAUAGCAGUACCAUUGCAAUUAAACACAUACCCUGUUUGUGACCUACCUUUAUGUGGAUCUGAAAGAUAUCCUGCAUCUGCAUAUCCAAGCAAUUGUUGCUUUGAUUCCGUUGAGUAAAAUAAACCCAUAUCAGUAGUUCCGCAAAGAUAACAUAAUAUAUGUUUGAUACCAUUCCAAUGUCUUCGAGUUGGAGUGGAAUUGUAUCUUGCUAAUAAAUUGACAGAAAAAGCAAUGUCUGGAUGUGUACAAUUGGCAAGAUACAUAAGUGCACCAAUAGCACUAAGAUAUGGUAUUUCAGGACCAAGUAACUCUUUUUUUUUUUUUCGCAAGGACGAAAUGAGUCAUUUUUCACAUCAAGUGAUUGGACAACCAUUGAAGAACUUAAAGGAUGCGCUUUAUCCAUAUAAAAACGCUUCAAAACUUUGUUAACGUAUGUUGAUUGAUGUACUAAAACUCCAUUUGGAAAAUGCUCGAUCUGCAGGCCGAGAUAAAAUUUUGUUUUUCCAAGAUCUUUCAUCUCAAAUUCCUUUUUCAAGUAAUUUGUUGUUCUUGUGAGCUCUUAAGAAGUUCCAACAAGAUUUAAGUCAUCGACAUACACUGUAAUAAUUGCAAAUCCGGUUUCUGAUUUCUUAAUGAAGAUGCAUGGGCAUGUAGGGUUAUUCACGUAUCCUUCUUUUAGCAAAUAUUCGCUAAGACGAUUGUACCAUAUGCGUCCAGAUUGCUUUAAUCCAUACAAUGAUCGUUGUAACUUGAUUGAGUACAUGCUACGAGACUUUAUACUAUUUUCUCCAGGCAAUUUAAAUCCUUUAGGGAUUUUCAUGUAUAUAUCAUUAUUCAUGGAUUCGUAUAAAUAUGUUGUAAUAACAUCCAUGAGAUGCAUAUCCAAUCCUUCUGAGACUACCAAAUUGAUUAAGAAACAAAAUGUGAUUGCAUCCAUGACGAGAUAAUAUGUUUCUUCGUAGUCAAUACCAGGUCUUUGCGAGAAACCUUGUGCUACUAAUCGCGCUUUAUAUCUUAUGAUCUCAUUAUUCUCAUUGCGCUUUCGUACAAAUACCCAUUUGUACCCAACAGGCUUUACAUCUUCAGGUGUUUAGACUACAGGUCCAAAAACUUCUUGUUUUGUUAAUGAGUUUAACUCUGCUUGUAUAGCUUCAUUCAGUUUUAGCCAAUCAUUUCUAUGUCAACAUUCUUCCACAUUUCGUAGUUCGGGAUUUUCAUCAUUUCUUUUGACUUUAGAGGCCACUUGGAAAGCAAAAAUAUUGUUAAUAACAAUAUUAUUUAAAUCCAUUUUUUCUCCCGUGUGUACAUAACUUACUGAGAUAUCACAAUUUUUAGGUACCUGUGCCUCUUCAAGGGCUUCUCGUUCAAUAUGUGCCUCUUCAAAGGCUUUUUGCAUUAUUUAUGCCUCUUCUAGGGCUAUAGAUUUAUCAAUUUUAAAUUGAUCAGUCAUUUUGAUGGCCUCUUCUAGAGUGCCAAGUUUUUCUUCGGUUCUCAUUUUCUAGGAAGUUACAUCAUUUGAGCCGACAAGUUUACCACGCUUCAGGCAUAUCUUAAAUUCAUUUGUUAACUGUCCUAUAGGGACAUCAAUCCGUGCUGGAGUAUUUGUAGUCGGGAUAUGUUACUUUGUCACUUUCUUUGUAUUAAUGAAUGCAUCUGGUAAUUGAUUUGCAAGAUUUUGCAAAUGAAUGAUCCUUUGGAAGAUGGGUCAUAGUAGAUGCCUUCCAACUAAUUUCUCAUGGUUCUUCAGGAAUCGACUUUUCUCCCCUUAAUGAUGGGAAAACACUCUCAUUAAAAUGACAAUCCGCAAAGCGGGCAGUAAAAACAUCACCUGUCAAAGGUUCAAGAUAUCUUAUGAUAGACGGAGAAUCAAAACCUACAUAAAUCCUAAGUCUUCGUUGGAAAUCCAUUUUAGUGCGUUGUGUAGGUGCAAUUGGUACAUAUACUGCACAACCAAAGAUUUGUAAGUGAGAGAUAUUUGGUUGUUUUCCAAGCACAAGUUGUGAAGGGGAAUAUUCAUGGUAAGUUGUAGGUUGAAUAUGGACUAAAGCUACAACAUGCAUAAUAACAUGUCCCUAGGUAGAAGUAGGUAAUUUGGUUUUCAUUAGUAAUGGUCGAGCUAUUAAUUGGAGACGUUUGAUGAAGGAUUCUGCUAAGCCAUUUUGGGUAUGAGUAUGAGCAACAAGAUGCUCAAUAUUUAUCCCUACUGACAUGCAAUAGUCAAUGAAUGUUUGAGAAGUAAAUUCUCCAGCAUUAUUAAGACGUAUUGUCUUAAUUGGAUAAUAUGAAAAUUGUGCUCGUAAUAUGAUUAUUUGUGCAAGGAGUCUAGCAAAGGCAACGUUACGUGUAGAAAGGAGACAAACAUGUGACCACCUAGUAGAAACAUCUAUUAAGAUCAUAAAAUAACGGAAUGGUCCACAUGGUGGAUGGAUAGGCCCACAUAUGUCCCUAUGUAUUUUUUCUAAAAAGACUGGUGACUCAGAUAUAACUUUAGUAAAAGAUGGUCUGAUUAUCAAUUUACCUUAUGAGCAGGCAACACAUGAGUAUUCAUUGGGUGAAAGAAUCUUCUAGUUCUAUAGUGGAUGUCAAUGUGAGUGUUCGAUUAUUCGACACAUCAUUGCAGACCCUGGGUGACCUAGCCUGUCAUGCUAAAGUACAAAAACUUUUGGGUCGUUGAACUUCUGGUUCACGACAACAUAUGAUUCAAUAGGCUUUAUAGUUGUAUGAUACAACCCAGAGGAGAAAGUCGGGAGUUUUUCCAUUAUAAGCUUCUGACCAGAUAUAAUGGAAGUAAUGUAAAGAUGUUCUAUAUUAUCUUCAUUCAUAGUUUCAAUAUGAUAUCCAUUUCUGCGGAUAUCUUUAAAACUAAGCAAAUUUAUUCUGGAUUUGCUAGAAUAUAAAGCAUCAUUUAUAUGAAAUCUAGUUCCAUUUGGCAACGUUAUGUUUGCUCUUCUAGAACCUUCAACUAAGUUUGUAGUACUAGAUAUGGUACUUACAUUAGCUUUUAUUAAUGUCAAUUCAAGGAAAUAUCUUUUAUCUCGAAGAAUUGUGUGCUUGGUCGCACAGUCUACGAGACACACAUCAUCCUCAUUCAUCUUGAGACCAAAUAACACAUGGAUUUCAGAUAUAACAAAAUAAAACAAGGCAUAAUGUAAAUAACAAAGUAAAUCAGAUGUAAAUAUAAGACAUAAUAAUAUAUUAUUUCAUAUAUAAAGUAACAUCAAUUAAUGUUAAUUUUCUCAUCAUUUAUCAAAUGGUCUAUUUUUUCAUUGGGACCUUCAAAGAAAUCAAUGUCAUAGUAGGUUAGGUCCAAUCCAUCACCAUCAGUAAAGUUCAUCUUUAUCUCUUUUCCUUUUGCUUUUAUUGAUGCUUGGUAAAGGUCGACUAAAUGUUUGGGCGUACGACAGGUAUGCGACCAAUGCCCCUUCAUACCACAUCUAUAACAAUUAUUCUCGUGGUUCUUAGGAGGUUUAUCUUGUAAAUGCUUCCCAUUUUCUUGUAUUGUCUCAGUAUUGUUCCAUUUCUGGUGGUGCAACGAGGCUUUCAUUUUCUGAGAAUUAUUACUAUAAGAACCAUGGUAUCGGGGAUUUUUUCCACGAUCAUGACCACGUCCAUGAAUUUGGACGAUAUUGCAUUCACUUUAAGGAAUGGUUCAGAUCCAGUUGGACGAGAUUGAUGAUUUCUCAUUAAAAGCUCAUUAUUUUGUUUAGUAACAAGAAGACAUGAUAUUAAUUCAGAAUAUUUUGUAAAUCUACACUUUCUAUAUUGCUGUUGCAGGAGCACAUUCGAGGCAUGAAACGUAGUAAAAGUUUUCUCUAACAUGUCUUCUUCUAUGAUUUUUUCUCCAUGUAGCUUUAAUUGAGAGCUGAUUUUGAAAAGUGCGGAGUUGUAUUCACUAAUAGUUUUAAAAUCUUGCGACCUUAGGUGCAUCCAAUCAUAUCAAGCUUUUGGGAGAAUCACAGUUUUCUGGUGGUCAUAUCUUUCCUUCAAAUUACUCCAUAGAGUAAAAAAGUCCUUUACCGUAAAAUACUCAUUUUUUAAACCUUCAUGGAGGUGAUGACGAAGGAAAAUCAAUGCUUUUGCGCGAUCCUGCAGGGAUGCUUGAUUUCCUUCUUUGAUUGUAGCUCCAAGGUUUAUUGCAUCAAGAUGUAAUUCAACAUCAAGGAUCCAAGAUAGAUAAUUCUUUCCCGAAAUGUCAAGUGCCACAAAUUUGAGUUUUGUGAUAUUCGACAUUGUCAAAUAACUUCAUAUAUAUGACAAAACAAUAUUAUUAGAAUCAAUUAUAAUAACUUAAUAGCAUUGGUAUAACUUUGAUUAUAAACAAAAUCAAAUAAUUUGUUUAUAAUUUUUAACAAUAUGUAACAAAACAAAUCAACAAUAAUAUAAAUAUGUAAAAUUUUAUCCUAUAUAAAUAACUUCAAGUUUAAGAUACGAGAAUUACCUUCAGAACAAUUCGUGCUAAUAAUGUGUUGUAAAAAGAGAAUAAAUGUGACUCAGAUAAUAGUAGGGAUGACUAUGUAUUACUUUAAUAAUAUAUAUAUAUAUAUAAAGGGGGAGGGGGGGAAGAAAUCAAAGAGAAGUGUUGAGAGAAUGAAAGAAAGAGAGAGAGAGAGAGAAUGAGAGGAAGAGAAUUUUUUUUUUCUCGAGAUGCUCUUACAUGGGGUGUAAGAAGCCUUUUAUAGGCUUUAUAAUAUAAACUCCCAUUACUCAUUUUAAAGAUGAGUAAAUGGAGUUCAUAAAUGACCAUCAAUGUGGUCAUUCAUCACUUCAUUUACAACAGUUAUUAAUUUGUUGUAUUACUUAGAGGGGGUGAAUGAAUUGAAAGCACUAUGGAGGUAAGCUUUUUAGUUUUUUCACCUUAUCCUCUUUAUACAUAAUGUCUCCAUCAAUGAUGUUCAGUAUAUUCCUUAUUUUUGUUUUACUUAAGUGUUCUUGUAUUGUAGCCCUCUCAAGACUCUUCCUCUUCACUCCAAACAAGUUAAUUGUCUUCAUAUCAAAGUAACAUAAGUUGAUUUUCUUAUAGGGCUAAUGCUACUUAUGUGAUUAUUUUCUUUACAAAAGUUGCAAAUAAUAUUUGAGGAUUCCUUGACAAAAUAAUUUUUAAAUUUUUAUUUUUUUAUUUUUUUUAUUUUUAUAGAGCUUGUAUCCUAAUCCCUUUAUUGCAAAGAUUAUUUUUUUACUUGCCAAAAUUAUCAAAAUUCUUGUCCCCAUUUGAGAAUUUUGAAAGAGAAGAGAUUAACUAAUGAAUUUUCUUUUCAAGUAAGUAUAUAUUUUAUUCCAAGGAAAACCUUAGCCUUUUUUAGAUAUUUUAAACUCCCCUUUUAAGUCAUUAAUUUCAACUUGAAGAGAGAUGAUUUUCUUUUUAAGAUAAGCCUGAAAGUUAUUUGAUCUAGUUUAGGUAACACCUAGAGGAGUUGAAUGGUGUUUAAACUUUUCUGCUCAAAAAUGAAUUAUUUUAUAUUCAUAUAACAAACAUUUUUUCAAUUUAGGAAAGCCUAAAAACACUCAAUACAAAAACAUAAGAUUUUUAUAUGGAAAACCACCCAUAUCAUGUGCGGAUGUAAAAACGACAAGGUCAGACUUUUAAUCAUUAAUAAACUAUUUGAAAGUAUUAUACAUGGUUUUAGUUGGUGGAAGCUAUCGUUAAGUCUUACUACCCAACACCUACAAUGCACUUCACAUUUGCGAUAUAGCACUACGUGUGCUCUUAGUGGAUCUAACCUCAGUGUUUGAGAGGAUGUAGAUCUCCUUUUCAAUCCAACAUAAGCGAAAACAACAUUCCUUGAGAGUUUUAGGAAUAAGAUGACGAAUUUGGUUUUUCAAAAAAUUUGCAUCAAACCAAAAACCUUUUUAGGUAAAACAUUUAUAGGCAUAAGAAGCUGGCAGACUGGAUCUAAAAUUUUCCAAAAUAAGACCUUAAAAAAAAUUAGAAAAUCAAAGUUCCAAAAAUUUUGGAGAAUUCUAUCAUGGGUGUUUGAGUGCUCAUGGGAGCACUUGAGUGCUUAAGGAGAUUUUUUAAACUUUUUAAAAAUUCUUUUAGCUUGGUUUUAAAACCAUUAGUUCGCACCAUGCCUUAACAAACACCAAUUUGUCAUUCUUGAACCUUUUGAUUUUUACUUGUGCCAUCCUGAUUGAUCACAUAACAACUUUGAGUCUUCAAUGAAGAGUAAAACACAAUUUAGAAAGAUUCUAAACUAGAAUGAAAGGAAUUAUAUAGCCUAAUAUACCAACAAUCUUCUCCUAUGAUAAUUUUAUGAAAAAAAAUACAAAUUACAUAAACCCCCUAAUACUCUUCAAUGGAGUUUAAGAAUCUCUCAAUAACUCUCGUCUAAACCAAAUCAUUCUUGAACAUGCAGAUGAUGAUAAAUCACAUCUAAAAGUGGGCAAUACCCCACUACUUGUGACCUGCACACACAAACCAACCAAGUACUCAAGUAAAACAAUGUGUGAGAGAAAACACAACUCAUAAAUUCUAUCAAAUCAAGGUAAGAGUAGAUGGAUGUGAGUCAUGCAUACAAUGGAUAUCUAAUCAAUAGUAUCAAUAAAUUGUCUCCCCAUUUUUGUCGCAAAAAUGACAAAGAAGGAAUAAACAAUGAAUGCACAUAAGAGAAAGAGAAACAAUUAAGCAAAAGAACUUCAACUUAUUUUUAGAAUGCUUCUUUCUUGGUAAGAUCUCUUAAGAAACCCUUCUUGAAAAUAGUUUUUUUUUUUUUGUUUUGUUUUUUAUGAUGGAAAAUUGUUUUCUACCUUAAAAACUAUAUUUGGUAAAAUUUCACUAAAAUAAUUUUUUGAAAAUAGGUUUUUUUUUUGGAACAAACGCUUUUAAAUAUAUAUAUAUAUAUAUAUAUAUAUAUAUAUAUAUAUAUAUAUAUAUAUAUAUAUAUAUAUAUAUAUAUAUAUAUAUAUAUAUAUAUAUAUAUAUAUUGUAGAAUAUUUCAAGAAAUAGUUGAAAAUAUGAAAAAUGUUUCAAGAACCUUUGUAUCUUAGAUUUGUGCACUUCAGUUUCAUGAAUAAUAUUAAACUAAGAAAACUGUUAUUUAUAUAUUAAUUUCUAAAUAAAAUUUUGUUGCUGGAAAUAAUUAAAAUUUAUUUUAAAAAACUAUUUUCAAGAAUUAUUUUUGAAAACGUUGCUAAAAAGACAAAAGUCCUUGGUCAUUUUUUUUUCUUUUAUAUUUUUAUCUUUAUCUAAGAGGCCGGUCUUUUUUUUUUUUUAAUGUUCCAUAAUCCUUGUGAAAUUGUAACGUGUAAUUCAUUUAUUUGACUUCAAAAGUUAAGAAAUAAUGAACCUUUCAUUAUUGUAGUUUGUCUUGUAGUAAGAGACUUAAAAAUCCACGUACAAGAUGUCUUUCUUUCUUAAGUCAAGUCAACAAAAUGGAGGUGGAAGAAAUAAUGAACUUUCAUUAUUGUAGUUUGUCUUGCUAAAAGCUAUGUAUAACGGGUCUUCGUAAGUCAAAUCAAUAAUCAAAUUAAAAGAAAUAAUAAACUUCCAUUAUUCUAUUUUAGAGACUUAAAAAGCCAUAUAUAACGGGUCUUCUUUUCUUAAGUCAAGUCAAUAAAAUAAAAGUAGAAGAAAUAAUGAACUUUCAUUAUUGUAGUUUGUCUUGCUAAAAGCCAUGUAUAACGGGUCUUCGUAAGUCAAAUCAAUAAAUCAAAUUAAAAGAAAUAAUAAACUUUCAUUAUUGUAUUUUAUCUUGUAGCGAGAGACUUAAAAAGCCAUGUAUAACGGGUCAUCUUUUCUUAAGUCAAGUUAAUAAAUCAAAUUAAAAGAAAUAAUAAACUUUUAUUAUUGUAUUUUAUAUUGUAGCAAGAAACUUAAAAAGCCAUGUAUAAUGGGUCUUCUUUUCUUAAGUCAAGUCAAUAAAUCAAAUUAAAAGAAAUAAUAAACUUUUAUUAUUGUAUUUUAUCUUGUAGCGAGAGACUUAAAAAGCCAUAUAUAACGGGUCAUCUUUUCUUAAGUCAAGUCAAUAAAUCAAAUUAAAAGAAAUAAUAAACUUUUAUUAUUAUAUUUUAUAUUGUAGCAAGAGACUUAAAAAACCAUGUAUAAUGGGUCAUCUUUUCUUAAGUCAAGUCAAUAAAUCAAAUUAAAAGAAAUAAUAAAUUUUUAUUAUUGUAUUUUAUAUUGUAGCAAGAGACUUAAAAAGUCAUGUAUAAUGGGUCUUCUUUUCUUAAGUCAAGUCAAUAAAUCAAAUUAAAAGAAAUAAUGAACUUUUAUUAUUGUAUUUUAUAUUGUAGCAAGAGACUUAAAAAACCAUAUAUAACGGGUCUUCUUUUCUUAAGUCAAGUCAAUAAAUCGAAUUGGAAGUUUUUCCUUUUUUUUUUUUUUUAAACCAACUUCUACUAUUACUUUUAUUAGUUAUUUUGAUCAUUUGAUUAAAUAUUGAAUUAUUAUUAUUUUUUUAAAAUUUUCAAGUACAAACCAUUUCAUGUUAAAAAAUUUAAAGUGGAUCUAACUUUCUUUACAAGUUAAGAUAUCUUGAUUAAAGGAUAAAUAAUGGAUUGUAAUAUUUCAACUUUAAUUAAGUUAAUUUAUCAAUAUUCAAACUAAGUUGGAGAAAAAAAAAAGACAACACCUCAAUUUUAGUUUUCCAUUACACAUGGUUAUUUCUUUUUCUUCUUUUUCUUUUGCUUAUUUGACACACAAUGGCAGCUCUAGUCAUCAUACCUUUCAAGACUCUAAACUCACACAAAUUUUCAAUCUUUUCAUCAUAUCUUUUAAAAUUCUUGUCACUCAUAAAGUAUUUAAGACUUAAUUUUAAUAAAUUCAUAUUUUUAUAACUAUAACUAAGAGCUUUGACCUAUUAAAAAAUGAAUCAAAAAUCGUUUGCAAGACAUUAAAAUUUCAUAAUUAUUUCUUUUACCUUAAAUGUAGUUGUUAUGUGUUUGCUAGUUCACAUAUUUGCAAUAUACCCUAGGAUGGUUGAGCUAUGUAACAUGCUUCUCGGAAUCAAUUCAUUCGGUUUUUUUUUUUUCCUUUUCCCUUUUGGUUCUACUCAUUUUAAUGUAAAGAAGAACCAAAACAUAUUCACUAGUUGAUUUUACCCUUGGUUGCACAACUAACCAUAUGGAGUCUAGACUUGAAAAUUUUAUGCAUUUUGGGUCUAACAAGUUAUGAUACUUAGACCUAGCAUUACAUGUGAAAGAAAACAAAAAAGUAAUAAUAAAAAUAUAAUUCUCAUUGGAAAAUUAAAAUUGUUAUGAAAUAUUUUAUUUUCUCAUAUGUUGUUUAGAUAUUGAUGGAUUGACUUGUUAAUUAAAGUUGAAAUAUUCUAAUAUUUUUCUGUCAUCAAGGUGUCUUAUGUGGUGACUCAAAAAUAGUAUUAAUAAAUGAUAAAAGAGAUUGUUGCUAAUCUUCAAAAUUAUAAAAAGUUUAUACACUUUGCUAGUCUUCAAAAUUAUAAAGCGUUUAUACUUUAAAAAAACAAAAUAAAUAAACAUUAGUCUAUAUUGAAUGUGUUAAUAUGAAGUACAUUGUAGCUAUAAUUUUUUAAAGGAUUAAAGAAAAAAACCAUUCAAUAUUUUGCUAGGUAUAAAAAAUCUUAUUUAUUACAAAUUAUUUUGUAGAUGAUGAAUCAUUGAUGAAGAUAGGCUAAGGAAUUUAUAAAAGGUAAAAAGUAAUUAUUCAUAUAAAUGAAAAGUGAAGGUUAUAUUUGUUAAGUAUCUUUAAAAGGGGAUUUCAAAACAUUACUUUCUCUAAUAAUAAUAAUGUAAACUCAAAAUAUAUGUAAAUGAAAAUAAAAAAUAGUAUUUUUAUAAACUUAAAAAUAAUAUAUUUGUUUUUUUAAAUAUUUUUAGUCAUAAUUAAAGGUCAUCAUAUCUGUCAAAAAUUUAUCUUUAUAUUAUUUAUUUUAAAAAUGAUUAUUCAUUAAGAAUCAUUUUGAUAAAAGGUAAAAAAUAAUUACCAUAUAAAUUAAAAGUGGAGGUUAUAUUUGUUAAUUAUUUAUAAAAGGGGAUUUCAAAACAUUACCUUCUCCAAAAAUAACAAUAAUAAUAAUAUAAACACAAUAUUGACUCAAAAUAUUAUGUAAAUGAAAAACUUAAAAAUAAUAUAUAUUUGUUUUUUUUUUUUUAAUAUUUUUAGUCAUAAUUAAACUUCAUCUACUCAUCACGUUUGUGGGAAUGGUAUAUAAGUCAAUGCCUGCUUUGCUCAGAAAUCAAAAACCAAAACUUGUUAAUCCUUGUUAUUACACACUAUCCUUGCUCUGUGUUGAACAUGGGUACAAGCCCCUUUCGAUAUUUUAUUUCCUUUUUUCUGCUUAUGCUAUGUUUUGAAGCCUGUUUGAGGGUGGGUGAUGCUAAAGUUGGGUGCAGAGAGAGGGAAAGGCAAGCACUCCUUCACUUCAAACAAGGUGUUGUGGAUGAUUUUGGAAUGCUUUCUUCUUGGGGGAAUGGGGAAGACAAAAGAGAUUGUUGCAAAUGGAGAGGAGUCGAGUGUGACAACCAGACGGGUCAUGUGAUCGUGCUUGAUCCUCAUGCUCCGUUUGAUGGAUAUUUGGGAGGUAAGAUUGGUCCUUCAUUGGCAGAGUUGCAGCACUUGAAGCAUUUGAACCUCAGCUGGAAUGAUUUUGAAGGUAAUUAUAUACAUAUAUACCUUGUGAAAAUUCAUCAAUUUGUCUCAGCAGAAUAUAAUUCUCUAUUUUUCCAAUUUUACAGGAAUUCUUCCCACUCAACUCGGAAAUCUUUCCAACUUGCAAUCCCUUGAUCUCGGCCAUAGUUUUGGGUUUAUGACCUGUGGAAACCUUGAGUGGCUUUCUCACCUUCCUUUGUUAACACACCUUGACUUGAGUGGGGUUCAUCUUAGUAAAGCAAUCCAUUGGCCACAAGCAAUUAAUAAAAUGCCUUCCCUAACUGAGUUGUACUUGAGUUAUACUCAGCUUCCUCCGAUUAUUCCAACAAUAUCCAUUUCCCAUAUUAAUUCCUCCACUUCUCUUGCUGUGCUUGAUCUCUCCGUGAAUGGUCUCACUUCUUCAAUAUACCCAUGGUUGUUCAACUUCAGUAGCAGCCUUGUUCAUCUUGACCUCUCUAUGAAUGAUCUAAAUGGUUCAAUUCCGGAUGCUUUUGGAAACAUGACUACUCUGGCAUAUCUUGGUCUCUAUGGGAACGAGCUACGUGGUUCAAUUCCGGAUGCUUUUGGAAACAUGACUAGUCUGGCAUAUCUUUAUCUCUCUUCAAAUCAGCUUGAAGGUGAGAUUCCGAAAUCCUUGAGAGAUUUAUGUAAUUUACAGAUACUAUACUUGUCUCAGAACAAUCUCACUGGACUGUUGGAAAAAGAUUUUCUGGCCUGCUCUAAUAACACAUUAGAGGUUUUAGAUUUAUCUCAUAAUCAAUUCAAAGGGUCAUUUCCCUGGCUUUCAGGAUUUUCACAGUUGAGAGAAUUAUAUCUUGAAUUCAAUCACCUAAAUGGAACUUUACCUGAAAGUAUUGGACAACUGGCUCAACUUGAAGUGUUGUCCAUUCGUUCAAAUUCAUUGCGAGGCACUGUCUUGGCAAACUACCUUUUUGGUCUCUCCAACCUGUCUGUCUUAGACUUAUCUUUCAACUCCCUUACAUUCAACAUAAGCCCUGAGCAAGUUCCCCAGUUUCAAGCCUCUCGUAUAAUGUUGGCCUCUUGCAAAUUAGGACCACAUUUUCCUAAUUGGCUUCAAACUCAAAAAUAUUUGUUGGACCUUGAUAUCUCUGCUUCUGGAAUUUCUGAUGUCAUUCCCAGUUGGUUUUGGAAUUUAAAUUCAGGUUUAGCAUGGUUAAACAUUUCCAACAAUCACAUCUCAGGCACUUUGCCAAAUUUACAAGGAAUAUUUUAUUUGGGAAUGUGGGAUAUGAGUUCAAAUUGCUUGGAAGGUUCAAUACCACAAUUUCUUUUCAAUAAUGAAUGGUUGUAUCUCUCCAAGAACAUGUUUUCAGGCUCAAUUUCUUUAUCUUGCCGGAUUGCUAAUCUGUCUGGUUCGGGUUUGUCCCAUCUUGAUCUCUCAAAUAAUCGACUGUCAGGAGAACUACCCAAAUGUUGGGAGCAGUGGAAACAUCUAAUUGUUCUUAAUUUGGCAAAUAAUAAUUUUUCUGGGAAAAUUAAAAAUUCAAUUGGCUUGUUAUAUCGGAUUCAAACAUUGCAUUUACGCAACAAUAGUUUAACCGGAGCAUUGCCUUUGUCCUUAAAGAACUGCAAAGAUUUGUGUCUUGUAGAUUUUGGAAGAAAUAAAUUAUCAGGCAAAAUACCUGCAUGGAUGGGAAGAAGCCUAUCAAGUUUGAUUGUUCUCAACCUAAGAUCCAAUGAAUUUAAUGGAGGCAUACCUUUAAAUCUAUGUCAAUUGAAAAAUAUUCAAAUGUUGGACCUCUCAAACAACAAUCUAUCUGGUACUAUACCAAAAUGUCUCAACAAUUUAAGUGCCUUAACUCAAAAAGGGAGUUUGGUCAUUUCUUAUUAUGAAGGAGAGUUGAAUGGUUGGAAGCUCUCCUAUCUUGAUAAUACAUUGGUUCAAUGGAAAGGAAAAGAACUAGAGUACACUAAAACUCUUGGACUUGUGAAGAGCAUUGAUUUUUCGAAUAACAAGUUAAUAGGAGAAAUUCCGUCAGAAGUAACUGAUUUGGUAGAAUUGGUGUCAUUGAACUUAUCAAGAAACGAUUUGAUUGGACCAAUCCCUGCAACCAUUGGUCAAUUGAAAUUAUUAGAUUCUCUUGAUCUAUCUCAAAACCAGCUUAAUGGUAGAAUUCCAGAUAGUCUUUCUCAAAUAGCUGGUCUAAGUGUUUUAGACCUAUCAAAUAACACCUUGUCAGGUAAAAUUCCAUUAGGCACUCAAUUACAGAGCUUUAAUACCUCCACAUACGAGGGAAAUCCUGAACUUUGUGGGCUACCUCUUUUGAAAAAGUGUCCAAAAGAUGAACCUGGGGAAGCCUCCUUCAUUGGUUUUAGUAGUAAAACAGAGGAUAUUCAAGAUGAUGCAAAUAAUAUAUGGUUUUAUGGAAAUAUCGUUCUUGGAUUCAUCGUCGGAUUUUGGGGAGUUUGUGGCACUUUACUACUCAAUAGUUCAUGGAGAUAUGCCUAUUUCAAGUUCUUGAACAAGAUAAAAGACCGAGUGUAUGUGACAACAACAAUAAAUAUGAAUAGACUAUGGAGGAGCUUCCAAAUUUAAAUGGUAAGAUUUCUCAAAUUCUCUCCUUAGUCUUUUUAAUAAAUUAUAUUACCUUAGUAGCCUCUUUCUAUUAUUGCUCAAAUCCCUAUUCUAUUAAUUAACUUACCUUCCACAACUUAUGGAGAUAAAAUAAGAUUUUUCAAAUAAAAAUAUCAUAUUUUAUUUGAUUAGAUGUGAAAUUCAACUAUAACUAAGGAAGCCUUGAAUAUUUUGAUAUACCAAAUAUAACAACACCACAUUUUUAGUUCUCAUUGUACAUAUAGAUAAAUGUUAUGGCUUGAGAAUCAUAGUUGAAAAAUUAUAAUUAUCACUAUUUUUUUCUCAUCUUGCUUUUACUUACAGUUGUACCUUUUGCUGAAGUUCAGUCAACUUGCUUUAAGAAUAUUUGAGGUUUUAUUGUAAGAAGCAUACUACCAUACUUUCCUUUAUAUUAAUCAAGAAAAGUAAAUUUGCUUCUAUUGAAGACAUUUUUUUCAAAUUGAUGAAUAUUAUUUCAUUUGUUGUAUUGCAGAACUUCAAUUGGGUUGCAUCUCAAGGAUUAGUAGGUAAUAUAUGCUUGUGAGUAAUGAGUUUAUUUAGUAUUGGACAGCCUGAAUGUAAGAGCAUUUGUGUUUAUUGAACUCAUCAUCUUAUAAAUAACUUUGGCGUGUAUUAAGUUUGUUUAUUUGAUAAUAGGCGUGGCUUAAGUUUCUUAUGUUAUGCUCUAUUUAGAGCGAAUCAAAUAUAUUAGAGGAUGAUAUCAAGUCCUUUGUGGUGCAAUGCUAGAAACUACUUCGCUUUAAAAAAAACGUUUUCUUUUGCUCAAAAACCAGUAGCAACUAAAGCCAUAAUUUAAAAUGGGACAUGGUAAGACUAAGAACAGAAACUGAGCACUCUGUUUUUCUGGUGCCCAAGCAUGGAAGUUAUUAUAAUAAAAAGAAACAGCUGGUCAGAAUAAAACAAAAUUCAAAACAUGGUGUUUCUCACAAUGCAUAUUGAGGCUUCAUCCACUGAUAUUCCACAACAGAUUAACCGUCAAAAACCCUUAUGUUGAGUAGGAGAAAAGAAGCUCCAUACUUCUCAGGACAUACAGAACAACACCUUGGGUAGAGACCUUGACCAUGCUUGCAGAAAUGUGUUUUUGGAGCAGCAAUCCGAAGUAUAGGAGGCUUCAUAUUUGGGAACACUCCUCAUUCAAUGUAUCAUUGUGACUGAGAUGACUACAUAUUGAGGUUUGAUCAGUUCUAGGAAGGUGACUGGUUAUCAUAAAGCAUUUACCAACCAUUCUUGAAUACAUACUUAUGUGAUUUAGCAGGAUGGAACUGCAACUAGUCAUUAAUUAAGCAACAAAAAUGGCUGUGGUAAGAUUCUGAGACAUUGAUUGUAUAUUCCAUUGUUUUUUAUUUGAGGUUAAAUUCGGCUUUUGUUUUUUUUACUUUUUAAUUCUCUACUGCUUACAUGCCUCUUGUAUCUGAAGAGGCUAAUUGUUCAUGCGGUUGAAUUUUGCAACAUUUUCUUAUUGUUCGGGGCUUAAGCUUCUGUUCAUUUUUUCAUUAUUAUGUUUUUGUGCUUUGUUUUUUAUGACUAAUCCCAUGCCACAUAGUGAAGUGUUCACAGAGAAUGACUGGAAAUUUGUCCAGCUUGGGCUUGCUCUAUUUUAGAACAUUUUAGCCAUUCAAGACAUCUCGUUGCAGUAGAAGGCUGGGAGUCUGCACGCCACUCAAUUUUUAUCUCUGAGUAACCAAUUUUUGGUGCUGUUAUUCUUCAUUGAUUUAGAAGAUGAGCUGUUAUUUUUGGGGAUAUCUGUGUUAUAAUACACAAUAGUAUGCAUUGGGAUAUGCUACUACUGAAAACAGAACAAUCUGUUUUUGUGGCGUCCAAGCAUAAAAGCUAUUGUCACACAGCGAGGUCUGAUUUCCAACUGUGAAUCAAAUUGCUCGAGGUACUUCAUAUGCAGAUCGCUGCAAGUGGCUUUGGCCAUCAAUCUCCUUCAGGGGAUGAUAAUAUUGAGAUUGCAGUGAAGGUUUGGGUGUUUGUCACAAUGCCUGUUGAAGCGUCAUCAGAUGAUAUUUAGUCAUCAGAUGAUAUUUAAUGACAGAUAGGGUAUCUGUGGGGUUGAAAUCUCAUUACAUGCGGCAACACAGUUCUUGAUAUUUAAUGACAGAACGGUAAGCGAACUUUAUAUGUAGUUUUUUCCCUUCUCAUGGGUUCAUUUGUAAGUGUCCCAAUUUUCAAACAGAUGAAUAAUGGAUGGUGAAAGUGUCCUACACAUCAUAGAACAAAGAACAAGGAACAAGGAUCAGGAGUUCCCUUUACCUCUUGGGAUCUGUGUUGACACAUCCAUCUCAAAUUUCACUACUUGCAUUUUCUUUUGGGAAGUUUUUAUUGAGGACAGAAUAAUAAAUUAGCAUAUAGCUCUGUGAUAUCUGUCUAACCAUGCUGGCUUUUCCAUUUUGCAGAUUUGCAUGCUAGAUUUAGUGCUUAAACUAUCACUGGAAGAUUCUAAAGAGCCUCAAACAGCCCACAUCCUUCUUUAAAAGUUAGAUUUAUGAUCAGACUGAUCAAGGGUUGACUCAUUUUCUCUUGAAUCUGAUCAAAUCCUUCGACUCUCAUACUAACCCAAAAGGUUUCCCCUUUCAUUUCAACAACUUAGAAGUUCAUUGUUGAUGAUGAUGUUGCUGUUAUAUUCAUUAUUAUUACAACUAAUUUGAUAAGCAAUUAUUGUUAUUAUUUUUCUUUAUCUUAUAACACAAUCAUAUGAUAAAUGGAAUAUAAUGUCAUGACUGCAUUGAAAUUCUUGACCAAACAGAAAAAUGGGAAAUUUUGCUGUCUAUUUUAAAGCAUUGUAAUCAAUAUAGGGUAUCAUGAUGAUGAAUCAAGUCAACCUUGCCCCUACACUUUUGUGGUUGUGAAUGCAUUGAAAGAAAGUAAUAAUUCAGUCUGUGAAUCAAACAGGCCAUUAGUUCUUCGAAAGACUGAUACUCGAGAUGAAUGGGAAUUUGAGGCUGUAAGGCUGGGACGAUGAUGUAAACGGCACUCGCCAAUGGGUUCCUGAAUGGUCUGCAGUUUCUAAUCCAUGUGAUAUUGCUGGGGCUUGCCCUGUGUAGCUUGGACUGAAGCAAAACUAAUGCCUCCAGCAUGUACAUGCCUGCUGGGGGCUUCUAAUGUGGGAGACGGCGGCCAGUGCUCAGAGAAUUCUUCGGUGUCAACCGCGAGAUGUGAUAAUAAUCAUCGGAAUUCGACUGCUUCCAAGCUGAAGAUGUCGAUAGUGCAGCAAACUAAGUACUAUUAUCUCAUUUUUCCGAUUAUAGCAAAUUACAGUAACAUCUCGCCAUUAUCACAGUGCGGUGAUGCUUGUUUAUCAGACUGUGAUUGUGCUGCUUCCGUGUUGGCUGCUAAACAACUUGGAGUUUGGUGGAUUCGAGGACACGAGUUCGACCUUGUUUGUGAAGGUUGGGCCUAAGGGAUCACCUGGAGGCAACGCAACAGGAUUUGGGGAUUCAUCUGAUGGCCUCUGAGACAAGGUCUUAGUUCUUCCAAUUGUUCUCAGCAUGACUGUCCUUGUAGGACGACUCUGCUUCUUGUUAUACCACAGUGUGUACAGGAGGAGGGCCUUGAAGAGAGCCCUGGAAAGCCCCUUGAUUGUGUCCGGCGCUCCAAUAAAUUUCAGUUACUGUGAUUUGCAGUGCAGAACCGGCAAUUUGCACAGGUCAGCAUGUACAUAUACAUAUAUAGACUUUGAAAAGGAUGAAAUUGCUUGAACAAAGCCAAUUAGACUUGAUCAAUGAGGAUUAAUGUUGUCUUCUUUUUUUUUUUUUUUUUCAUGAGAGUUUGGGAGUGUAUACAAGAUGGGACAUUGGUUGCAGUGAAGAAGCUUGACAAGCCUCUUGGGAAGAAGGAAUUCAUAACUGAAGUGAAAACUAUUGGCUCUAUGCAUCACAUGAACCUGGUUCAACUCUGCGGCUACUGCUCAGAAGGCUCUCACCAGUAUGCAUUUCAUUUCAUUGCCUAAUACCAAUUACCACUAACCAUAUUUAAAUUCUUAUCAUCCUCUUUG